RNAcentral lists this ribosomal RNA (468 nucleotides) under uncultured bacterium. Its description in RNAcentral is "partial 16S ribosomal RNA". It matches the Rfam family "Bacterial small subunit ribosomal RNA", at positions 28 to 507 of the family's 1533-position model. The record is from RNAcentral.
GACGAACGCUGGCGGCGUGCUUAACACAUGCAAGUCGAACGGAAAGGCCCUGCUUUUGUGGGGUGCUCGAGUGGCGAACGGGUGAGUAACACGUGAGUAACCUGCCCUUGACUUUGGGAUAACUUCAGGAAACUGGGGCUACUACCGGAUAGGAGCUCCUGCUGCAUGGUGGGGGUUGGAAAGUUUCGGCGGAUGGGGAUGGACUCGCGGCUUAUCAGCUUGUUGGUGGGGUAGUGGCUUACCAAGGCUUUGACGGGUAGCCGGCCUGAGAGGGUGACCGGCCACAUUGGGACUGAGAUACGGCCCAGACUCCUACGGGAGGCAGCAGUGGGGAAUAUUGCACAAUGGGCGGAAGCCUGAUGCAGCAACGCCGCGUGCGGGAUGACGGCCUUCGGGUUGUAAACCGCUUUCGCCUGUGACGAAGCGUGAGUGACGGUAAUGGGUAAAGAAGCACCGGCUAACUACGUG